Molecule: ribosomal RNA, 281 nt
Filed under: uncultured bacterium
Lineage: Bacteria
Description: partial 16S ribosomal RNA
Rfam family: Bacterial small subunit ribosomal RNA
Source: RNAcentral
UGCCAGCCGCCGCGGUAACACGGGGGGCGCAAGCGUUAUUCGGAAUUAUUGGGCGUAAAGGGCGCGCAGGCGGUCUUGUCCGGUCAGGUGUGAAAGCUCGGGGGCUCAACCCCGGAAGUGCACUCGAAACAGCAAGACUUGAAUACGGUAGAGGAGAGAGGAAUUCCUGGUGUAGAGGUGAAGUUCGUAGAUAUCAGGAGGAACACCGAUGGCGAAGGCAUCUCUCUGGGUCGAUAUUGACGCUGAGGGGGGGAGGCGUGGGUUGCGAACCGGAUUAGAUA